GAACGGAGCUAGCAAUAGCUUAGUGGCGGACGGGCGAGUAACGCGUGAGCAACCUGCCCCUUGGCGAGGAAUAGCGGCUGGAAACGGCCGGUAAUACCUCAUAAUGUUAGAGAGCGACAUCGUUUUCUAACCAAAGGUUUACCACCGAGGGAUGGGCUCGCGUCUGAUUAGCUAGUUGGCAGGGUAACGGCCUACCAAGGCUUCGAUCAGUAGCCGGACUGAGAGGUUGAACGGCCGCAUUGGGACUGAGACACGGCCCAGACUCCUACGGGAGGCAGCAGUGGGGGAUAUUGCGCAAUGGGGGAAACCCUGACGCAGCGAUGCCGCGUGGAGGAAGAAGGUUUUCGGAUUGUAAACUCCUGUUUUCGGGGAAGAUAAUGACGGUACCCGAAGAGAAAGCUUCGGCUAACUACGUGCCAGCAGCCGCGGUAAUACGUAGGAAGCGAGCGUUGUCCGGAAUUACUGGGCGUAAAGGGUGCGUAGGCGGAGCGUCAAGUCAGGUGUGAAAUUUACGGGCUCAACUCGUAAACUGCACUUGAAACUGAUGCCCUUGAGUGGAGCAGAGGCAAGCGGAAUUCCUGGUGUAGCGGUGAAAUGCGUAGAUAUCAGGAGGAACACCGGUGGCGAAGGCGGCUUGCUGGGCUUUAACUGACGCUGAGGCACGAAAGUGUGGGGAGCAAACAGGAUUAGAUACCCUGGUAGUCCACACUGUAAACGAUGAUUACUAGGUGUGGGCAGAGACCCUGUCCGUGCCGCAGUUAACACAAUAAGUAAUCCGCCUGGGGAGUACGGCCGCAAGGUUGAAACUCAAAGAAAUUGACGGGGGCCCGCACAAGCAGUGGAGUAUGUGGUUUAAUUCGAAGCAACGCGAAGAACCUUACCAGGUCUUGACAUCGAGUGAAGUGUUAAGAGAUUAGCACGCCUUCGGGCACAAAGACAGGUGGUGCAUGGUUGCCGUCAGCUCGUGUCGUGAGAUGUUGGGUUAAGUCCCGCAACGAGCGCAACCCUUACGGUCGGUUGUUACGCAAGAACACUCCGGCCGGACUGCCGUUGACAAAGCGGAGGAAGGCGGGGACGACGUCAAAUCAUCAUGCCCCUUAUGACCUGGGCUACACACGUACUACAAUGGCGUUUAACAAUGUGGAGCUAACCCGCGAGGGGGAGCAAAUCACCAAAAAACGUCUCAGUUCGGAUUGCAGGCUGCAACUCGCCUGUAUGAAGUCGGAAUUGCUAGUAAUCGCGAAUCAGCAUGUCGCGGUGAAUACGUUCCCGGGC
This 1275-nucleotide ribosomal RNA is filed under the name uncultured Clostridiaceae bacterium. RNAcentral describes it as "bacterial SSU rRNA". It matches the Rfam family "Bacterial small subunit ribosomal RNA", at positions 64 to 1379 of the family's 1533-position model. The record is from RNAcentral. Lineage: Bacteria; Bacillati; Bacillota; Clostridia; Eubacteriales; Clostridiaceae.